This 119-nucleotide ribosomal RNA is filed under the name Pteropus alecto (black flying fox). The record is from RNAcentral. Lineage: Eukaryota; Metazoa; Chordata; Mammalia; Chiroptera; Pteropodidae.
GUCUAUAGUCUUGCCACCCUAAACACACCUAAUCUCGUCUGAUCUUGGAAGCUAAGCAGGGUUGGGCCUGGUUAGUACUUGGAUGGAAGACCACCUAGGAAUACCGUGUGCUGUAGGUU